GAUGAACGCUGGCGGCGUGCCUAAUACAUGCAAGUCGAGCGAACGGACGAGAAGCUUGCUUCUCUGAUGUUAGCGGCGGACGGGUGAGUAACACGUGGAUAACCUACCUAUAAGACUGGGAUAACUUCGGGAAACCGGAGCUAAUACCGGAUAAUAUUUUGAACCGCAUGGUUCAAAAGUGAAAGACGGUCUUGCUGUCACUUAUAGAUGGAUCCGCGCUGCAUUAGCUAGUUGGUAAGGUAACGGCUUACCAAGGCAACGAUGGAUAGCCGACCUGAGAGGGGGGCCGGCGACAUGGGGAAUGAGAGACGGGCCAGAAUGCUAGGGGAGGAAGUAGGGGGGAAUAUUGCAAAAUGGGCGGAAGCAUGAGGAAGCAACGCCGCGUGCGGGAGGACGGCAGUCGGGUGGUAAACAGCUGGCGAAGGUGAAGAAGCGUGAGGGAAGGGAAGGAGUAAAGAAGCACCGGCUAAAGACGUG
This 477-nucleotide ribosomal RNA is filed under the name uncultured bacterium. Its description in RNAcentral is "partial 16S ribosomal RNA". It matches the Rfam family "Bacterial small subunit ribosomal RNA", at positions 28 to 507 of the family's 1533-position model. The record is from RNAcentral.